RNAcentral lists this ribosomal RNA (411 nucleotides) under Actinomycetes bacterium. RNAcentral's name for it is "Actinobacteria bacterium partial 16S ribosomal RNA". It matches the Rfam family "Bacterial small subunit ribosomal RNA", at positions 355 to 776 of the family's 1533-position model. Lineage: Bacteria; Bacillati; Actinomycetota; Actinomycetes. The record is from RNAcentral.
UGGGGAAUAUUGCACAAUGGGCGCAAGCCUGAUGCAGCGACGCCGCGUGGGGGAUGACGGUCUUCGGGUUGUAAACUCCUUUCGCUAGGGACGAAGCUUUUUGUGACGGUACCUAGAUAAGAAGCACCGGCUAACUACGUGCCAGCAGCCGCGGUAAUACGUAGGGUGCGAGCGUUGUCCGGAAUUACUGGGCGUAAAGGGCUCGUAGGUGGUUUGUCGCGUCGUCUGUGAAAUUCCGGGGCUUAACUCCGGGCGUGCAGGCGAUACGGGCAUAACUUGAGUACUGUAGGGGUAACUGGAAUUCCUGGUGUAGCGGUGAAAUGCGCAGAUAUCAGGAGGAACACCGAUGGCGAAGGCAGGUUACUGGGCAGUUACUGACGCUGAGGAGCGAAAGCAUGGGUAGCGAACAGG